RNA transcript from Trifolium pratense (red clover), 1342 nucleotides. It is a transcript of the gene named protein SRG1-like, with no coding region annotated. NCBI's taxonomy places the organism in Eukaryota, Viridiplantae, Streptophyta, Magnoliopsida, Fabales, Fabaceae. The transcript has 6 exons. The record is from RefSeq and is a predicted model, not a curated record.
CUUGUCAAUUUAUUCUUGAAGAGAAUUUAUCAAUCAAUGGAUACAAAAACUCAGAGCUUAGAAUCAUCACUUACAGUUCCAAGUGUUCAAGAACUAGCACUCCAAAAUCCACAAAAAGUGCCACCAAGAUACAUAAGAGAUGAUGAUGGUGAUGAUGAUUUCUGCACCUUUCCUUCUUCUGAUCCAUCUCUUACCAUACCUUUAAUAGAUAUGGCUAAGUUGGUCAACGCUGAUACACAACAAGAUGAGCUUCAUAAACUUCAUCUUGCUUGUAAAAACUGGGGUGUUUUUCAGAUAGUAAAUCAUGGAGUCUCUUCCCUUAAGAAUAUGGGGAAUCAAGUUAAGAGAUUCUUUGAGCUUCCUUUACAAGAGAAAAAAAGAUGGGCACAGAAACCAGGAAGUCUUGAAGGGUAUGGUCAAGCAUUUGUUACCUCUGAGGUGCAAAAGCUAGAUUGGAAUGACAUGAUCUUUCUCAAGUCUUUGCCUAUUCAGAAUCGAAAAUUGGAUUUGUGGCCUCAAAAUCCUCCUCAGUUCAGGGAAACAUUAGAAAAAUAUUCUGAAGAAAUGAGGCAGGAAGCAACAUCAAUUGUGAGUUUCAUUACUUUGGCUUUGGGGCUUGAGGAUACAAAGAUAUCAGAAAGUUUCCAUGAAGGACUAUAUGAUAUAAGGAUGAAUUGCUACCCGCCUUGUCCGGAGCCUGAAAGAGUUCUCGGGAUUAUUCCUCAUGCUGACAAUUCCGGAAUCACUCUCUUGGUUGAUUUUGGUGAUUUUCCAGGGCUGCAGUUCCUCAAAGAUGGAAAAUGGGUUGGCGUCGAACCAAUAGAAGGUGCUAUUGUUGCUAACAUUGGCCAUAUAAUUGAGGUGAUGACAAAUGGGAUAUACAAAGCACCAGAGCAUAGAGCUGUAGUAAAUAAGACGAAGGAAAGAUUGUCGAUAGUGACAUUCUGCUAUCCAAACCCUUCUAUAGAUAUUGCACCUGCUGAGAAGCUAUUUGGUGAAGGAAACAAACAAGUAUACAAGAGCAUGACACAUGCAGAAUACUUCAACAGAAAUUUCGAAGUUACCUGAAUUGCCAAAGCCUGAAUUACCUAAGGUUAAUGUUUCUGAGUUGUGAAAACCUGAGCUACCUAAAGGCCCUGUGAUAAGUGAUACUUGGCAAGUAGAUAGGAUCACACAUGACCGCCUUAUUGCAACCACGUUGAUAGCUUUAAGUGUGAAGUUUUCAAAGUCUAUAAAAGGCUAACUUGUGAAGCUUUUCAAGAUUCAUUCUUACCUUAGAAACAGAGAAAGAGAGCUUAAGGAAUACAGAAAAAAAAGUGGAUGCACUUUUUUUUGGACUAGA